Pelobates cultripes (western spadefoot toad) is the source of this 275-nucleotide non-coding RNA. NCBI's taxonomy places the organism in Eukaryota, Metazoa, Chordata, Amphibia, Anura, Pelobatidae. The record is from the annotation of a GenBank genome assembly.
CAGGUAUAUUGAUGAUUAUAUUUAUGUGAGACAUUGGAAUAGUGUUGUUUUUGUAAGCUAAUGUUUUAUAAUUAAAUUGAAUGUACAUGCCCUUUACAAGCGCAUUGUUGUAGCAUAAACUUACUGGAUUUACUUAUGUUGGGUAAUGUGAAGUGUAAAAAGCAGUCUGCUCAUAAAAAAAACAGACAGUAAAUCCCACAGCAUGCUAAAUGCUAAAGCUUACUCAGUUCAUCAAUAAAUAGACUAUUAACAGUGAAAAAGACAAAUAGUGCAUC